Long non-coding RNA from Amblyraja radiata (thorny skate), 451 nucleotides. RefSeq lists it as uncharacterized. The transcript has 3 exons. Lineage: Eukaryota; Metazoa; Chordata; Chondrichthyes; Rajiformes; Rajidae. The record is from RefSeq and is a predicted model, not a curated record.
CAUAAUUACUUGAUCCCAGAUAUUUAGACUCAACGUCUUUGGGAUUUGCGAGAAAUAAAGCAAGGACAGCAUGGAACAAGCGACACAACAAGAAGUUGAUAGAAAACACCUAAAUCGUAGCAGGAGCAAACGAGUUGCAGGAUGGUCAAGGGACUCCUCAAAGAGACGUUGACAAGGAGUAAGGAGCAGAAGUGAACAAGAGACACAACAAGAAACCUCUUGAGGAUCUCCGAAAAAUAACGGAAGUUUGCAUGGAGCAAGAGGCACAACAAUAAGUUGACAAAAUACAGCCAAAACGGAUGGUCAAGGAACACCGUAAAGAGACGUUGAGAAGCAGUGAGGGGCAGAAGGAAAUCAGAGACACAACAAGAAAGGGCUGAACCUCUUGAGGAUCUCCGAAAAAUAAUGGAUGUUUGCAUGGAACAAGAGACACAACAAUAAGUUGACAAAA